RNAcentral lists this transfer RNA (72 nucleotides) under Otolemur garnettii (small-eared galago). It matches the Rfam family "tRNA". From Rfam's summary of the family: Transfer RNA (tRNA) molecules are approximately 80 nucleotides in length. Their secondary structure includes four short double-helical elements and three loops (D, anti-codon, and T loops). Further hydrogen bonds mediate the characteristic L-shaped molecular structure. tRNAs have two regions of fundamental functional importance: the anti-codon, which is responsible for specific mRNA codon recognition, and the 3' end, to which the tRNAs corresponding amino acid is attached (by aminoacyl-tRNA synthetases). tRNAs cope with the degeneracy of the genetic code in two manners: having more than one tRNA (with a specific anti-codon) for a particular amino acid; and 'wobble' base-pairing, i.e. permitting non-standard base-pairing at the 3rd anti-codon position. The record is from Rfam by way of RNAcentral. Lineage: Eukaryota; Metazoa; Chordata; Mammalia; Primates; Galagidae.
GCACCUGUAGCUCAGUGGCUAGGGUGCCAGCUUCAUACACUGGAGUGGCAGGUUUGAAUCCAGCCCGGGGCC